RNAcentral lists this ribosomal RNA (465 nucleotides) under uncultured bacterium. RNAcentral's name for it is "bacterial SSU rRNA". It matches the Rfam family "Bacterial small subunit ribosomal RNA", at positions 338 to 795 of the family's 1533-position model. The record is from RNAcentral.
CCUACGGGGCGCACCAGUAGGGAAUCUUCGGCAAUGGACGAAAGUCUGACCGAGCAACGCCGCGUGAGUGAAGAAGGUUUUCGGAUCGUAAAACUCUGUUGUUAGAGAAGAACAAGGACGUUAGUAACUGAACGUCCCCUGACGGUAUCUAACCAGAAAGCCACGGCUAACUACGUGCCAGCAGCCGCGGUAAUACGUAGGUGGCAAGCGUUGUCCGGAUUUAUUGGGCGUAAAGCGAGCGCAGGCGGUUUCUUAAGUCUGAUGCGAAAGCCCCCGGCUCAACCGGGGAGGGUCAUUGGAAACUGGGAGACUUGAGUGCAGAAGAGGAGAGUGGAAUUCCAUGUGUAGCGGUGAGAUGCGUAGAUGUAUGGAGGAACACCAGUGGCGAAGGCGGCUCUCUGGUCUGUAACUGACGCUGAGGCUCGAAAGCGUGGGGAGCAAACAGGAUUAGAUACCCGGGUAGUC